UUGGAUGUUUUAUGAAACCAUAAAAGAACCUCUCUCUUUAUUAGUCCUCACCACCACCACUUCCCCCGCACUCCUUGAGAGCACCAUCUUCCCCCGCGCCUCCCCUGGCGGCCGAACCCAUCCCCUCCGCUGCCUUCACCAAUGCCACCUCCUCUUCUCCUUCGAUCUCCUGUGGAUCAAAGCUAUGGUUUUCAAAAAUUGAGGAUAUUCAAGCGAUCCUUGUCUUCUUAGUGUUGGCUGUGGUUAAGCAGGUCUUUUGGUGGAGUUGAUUAUAAACUUAGAGCAACUGUGGUGUGAAAUUAUUGAAGGGGUGAAGAAAGGACUAGAUUAGGAGGUGGAAGGAAUGGAGACCGCACUUCUCUUGUUCAUUCAAACAUUGAAGGAUUAAGCAAUGCUGAUAGUGCACCAUUUUCAAAUGGUAAUAUUCCAAGUGUUGAGGAAACAGUGAAUGGUACUGCAUCUUAACAACCCAAUCAAAAUGUUGUAGCUGUUAGUGAUACUCAAGCAAACUAUGGUAGCGCAUAAGAUGCUUCAACCAUUGUUGGGAGGUUACGUAUCACAGUUGUGGAUGGGUUGUUAGGGCCAUCUAGCAAUUGUGCAUAGAUAAUCACAAAAAAGUUUAAGGAAAAAGUUGACUUUGAAGGAUACACAUGGAAGACAGUAUCACAACCUAUAAGAAACUUUUUAUUUUAAAGAAUUUUGGAAGCACUUUAUUUGGAAUUCCUCAUUAGAGGCACAAGUAAAAGAAGCUUGGGUUUGAAAGUCUCACAGUGAUAUAGUGAUUUUUUGAGGAAUAUAAGAGAUGCAACAACAAAACCGGAGUAUCUAAGUGAGGAGAAGUACAAGCAUUGGAAAGUUGUCUGGGAUAGACCUACAUUUAAGAAUAAACAAGAGAUAAAUUCUAAAAAUUGAUGUAGUAUUGUUUGGCCAUCAUGCCAUAUAGGAGGAUCAAUAUCUAAUGUUGAGCAUGGGAAGAAUCUUGAAUCUAAAUUUGGCCGAAAAGCCACUACACAUGAGUUUUUUUUGCAUACUUAUACUUAAAAAUACAUGGUGGGGAAACUUUUGUAGAUCUCAAGUCAAAAACAAUUAAUGAUAAAACGUUGACCUUGAAACAACAUGCAAUUUCUACAGAAUCUAAAUCAAUAAACUCAUAACCUACUCUAGUAGAUGAAUUGACCCUUUAUAUUGAAGCUGUUGGUGGAGAGAAGAAAAGAAGAAUCUAUCGUCUUGGUUCUCAAGUAUCUUCCUAUUAUGGAUGCUCUAAUUCAAAUGUCAAUAACUCAACUACAACAUCUAAUAUGCAAAAUAAUGAAGAUUUACAAAAUGAGUAAGCAUCUGUCCGUAAUAAACUUCAAAUCCAAGAAGAGCGGCAUCAAAAGAGCGUCAAGAAACUCAACAAGAGCUUCAAGAAACUGGACAAGAGGUGGCUGAAAUGAGGAGGAUGCUACAAUUACUUAUAUCUCAAAAUAAAGCACCUUCUCAACUAAAUCAAUCAGGUCAUGAUGAAGAUGUUGAUCCUACUCCACCAACUUAGUAGUUAUUGUUCUUAUCUCGUGACUUAUUUCUCAUAUUUGUUGCUUGCUUGUGAUACUUUUGAGUUUAAGUACUUGCCACUUAUGUUGGCUAUGUA
Dioscorea cayenensis subsp. rotundata (Guinea yam) is the source of this 1630-nucleotide long non-coding RNA. RefSeq lists it as uncharacterized. The transcript has 8 exons. NCBI's taxonomy places the organism in Eukaryota, Viridiplantae, Streptophyta, Magnoliopsida, Dioscoreales, Dioscoreaceae. The record is from RefSeq and is a predicted model, not a curated record.